Molecule: ribosomal RNA, 447 nt
Filed under: uncultured bacterium
Lineage: Bacteria
Description: bacterial SSU rRNA
Rfam family: Bacterial small subunit ribosomal RNA
Source: RNAcentral
GAUGAACGCUGGCGGCGUGCUUAACACAUGCAAGUCGAACGGGAAAUGCUUCAUUGAAGCUUUGGCGGAUUUGAUCCAUUUCUAGUGGCGGACGGGUGAGUAACGCGUGGGUAACCUGCCUUGUACUGGGGGAUAACAGCCAGAAAUGGCUGCUAAUACCGCAUAAGCGCACGGAGGCGCAUGCCUCUGUGUGAAAAACUCCGGUGGUAUAAGAUGGACCCGCGUUGGAUUAGCUAGUUGGCAGGGCAAUGGCCUACCAAGGCGACGAUCCAUAGCCGGCCUGAGAGGGUGAACGGCCACAUUGGGACUGAGACACGGCCCAGACUCCUACGGGAGGCAGCAGUGGGGAAUAUUGCACAAUGGGGGAAACCCUGAUGCAGCGACGCCGCGUGAAGGAAGAAGUAUCUCGGUAUGUAAACUUCUAUCAGCAGGGAAGAUAAUGACGGU